This 1042-nucleotide ribosomal RNA is filed under the name Paragymnodinium shiwhaense. RNAcentral describes it as "eukaryotic LSU rRNA". It matches the Rfam family "Eukaryotic large subunit ribosomal RNA", at positions 1 to 964 of the family's 3401-position model. The record is from RNAcentral. Lineage: Eukaryota; Dinophyceae; Gymnodiniales; Gymnodiniaceae.
UUAGACAUGAAGUUAGGUUGGCAAACCCGCUGAAUUUAAGCAUAUAAGUAAGCGGAGGACAAGAAACUAAACAGGAUUUCCUCAGUAAUGGCGAAUGAACAGGGAUGAGCUCAACAUUGGAAUUGGGGCCUCUGGCCUUGAGUUGUAAUUUCAAGAUGUGUUGCCAACGAGGGCGCAGAUGCAAUCCUGUUGGAAAGCAGGACCAGCGAGGGUGAGAGUCCCGUCUGUCAUUUGCAGUCCUUCGUGUACGGCGCAUGUUCUAAGAGUCACGCUCCUCGGAAUUGGAGCGCAAACUGGGUGGUAAAUUUCAUCUCAAGCUAAAUAUGGGUUCGAAACCGAUAGCAAACAAGUACCAUGAGGGAAAGAUGAAAAGGACUUUGAAAAGAGAGUUAAAAGUGUUUGAAAUUGCUGAAAGGAAAGCGGAUGGAACCAGUGCUGCUUGAUGAGAUUGUUGCAUACUGUGUGGAUGGGCUGUAAGUGUAGCGUAAGUGCGCUUGCGGUUUCUGAAGUUCGGUGUGUGGUGCUUCUCGUCUUGAGUGUCACCUGCGGUUUGUGAGUGCGGAUAACGUUCGGAACCUGGUAGCCUGGCUCCGGCUGGUCGAAUGUUCCAUUCUGAACUCACUCGCAGACCGUUCUCGCUUCUGCAAGGUAUGGUUGUGGCGGGCUGUGGUGCUCUGCUCCAUGUUGUCUCUGCGACGCCUCCCUAGCAUUCGCUUGGUGACAGAAUGGUUUUAUUCGACCCGUCUUGAAACACGGACCAAGGAGUCUAACAUAUGUGCGAGUUCAUGGGUGUCGAAACCUGCGUGCGCAAUGAAAGUGAGUACUGAGAUGCUAGCAUCAGCAGCCGACCGAUGGAUUGGCAGAGGUUUGAGCAUGAGCAUAUCUGUUAGGACCCGAAAGAUGGUGAACUAUGCCUGAGAAGGGCGAAGUCUGGGGAAACUCAGAUGGAGGCUCGUAGCGAUACUGACGUGCAAAUCGUUCGUCAUACUUGGGUAUAGGGGCGAAAGACUAAUCGAACCAUCUAGUAGCUGGUUCCCUCCGA